This 433-nucleotide ribosomal RNA is filed under the name uncultured bacterium. RNAcentral describes it as "partial 16S ribosomal RNA". It matches the Rfam family "Bacterial small subunit ribosomal RNA", at positions 29 to 507 of the family's 1533-position model. The record is from RNAcentral.
AACGAACGCUGGCGGCAUGCCUAACACAUGCAAGUCGAACGAGACCUUCGGGUCUAGUGGCGCACGGGUGCGUAACGCGUGGGAACCUGCCUUUAGGUUCGGAAUAACUCAGAGAAAUUUGAGCUAAUACCGGAUGAUGUCUUCGGACCAAAGAUUUAUCGCCUUUAGAUGGGCCCGCGUUGGAUUAGCUAGUUGGUGGGGUAUAGGCCUACCAAGGCGACGAUCCAUAGCUGGUCUGAGAGGAUGAUCAGCCACACUGGGACUGAGACACGGCCCAGACUCCUACGGGAGGCAGCAGUGGGGAAUAUUGGACAAUGGGCGAAAGCCUGAUCCAGCAGUGCCGCGUGUGUGAUGAAGGCCUUAGGGUUGUAAAUCUCUUUUACCCGAGAUGAUAAUGACAGUAUCGGGAGAAUAAGCUCCGGCUAACUCCGUG